This 2202-nucleotide ribosomal RNA is filed under the name Haploniscus rostratus. Its description in RNAcentral is "SSU rRNA". It matches the Rfam family "Eukaryotic small subunit ribosomal RNA". Lineage: Eukaryota; Metazoa; Arthropoda; Malacostraca; Isopoda; Haploniscidae. The record is from RNAcentral.
UCCUGGGUUGAUCCUGCCAGUAGUCAUAUGCUUGUCUCAAAGAUUAAGCCAUGCAUGUCUGAGUACAGACCGAUCUAAGGUGAAACCGCGAAUGGCUCAUUAAAUCAGUCAUAAUUUCUUGGAUAGUGAAAAACUUUCCUCGGAUAACUGUGGAAAAUCCAGAGCUAAUACGUGCAACUGAGCUCCGACCUCGGCGAACACCCUGGGAAGAGCGCAUUUAUUAGAUUCAAAACUGACCGUCGUACUCCUUCGGGAUGCGUCGUCUGUCAUAUUGAUGACUCCGGAUAACUAAGCCGAGCGCUACGGUCUUUGUACCGGCGCCGUAUCUUUCAAGUGUCUGCCUUAUCAGCUUUCGAUUGUAGGUUAAACGCCUACAAUGGCUGUAACGGGUAACGGGGAAUCAGGGUUCGAUUCCGGAGAGGGAGCCUGAGAAACGGCUACCACAUCUAAGGAAGGCAGCAGGCACGCAAAUUACCCACUCCCAGCACGGGGAGGUAGUGACGAAAAAUAACGAUGCGAGACUCUUCCGAGGCCUCGCAAUCGGAAUGAGUCCAUUCUAAAUCCUUGGACGAGGAUCCAUUGGAGGGCAAGUCUGGUGCCAGCAGCCGCGGUAAUUCCAGCUCCAAUAGCGUAUAUUAAAGUUGCUGCGGUUAAAAAGCUCGUAGUUGGAUCUCCUAGAUCCAAUUCGUGGGCGGGUCGCCCGUUGUACGCGCGUCUUCGCGGUCCCUCGAGAGGCGCUCUCUUCGGCGCGGCAUGUGGUCGUUGCGUUAAUUCCGCUUGUCCUCGAAGUAGUCCCCUGCGUGGGGGCACGCCGAGAGGCUUGUGGCGUUUUCGUAUACACUCGUGCGCGGUGUCGGGUUUGCGCUUAGCCUGUGGGCGGUUGACGUAGUCUUCGGGUACUGCCCGUCCGCGCUUGGUACAAUUAAAAUUUUGUCGGCUCGCUCGGAGUGCUCUUUACCGAGUGUUCCAGGGUGGCCGACACGUUCACUUUGAAAAAAUUAGAGUGCUUAAAGCGGGCUAUAGAGUUGCCUGAAUGUUGUUGCAUGGAAUGAAGGAACAGGACCUCGGUUCUGUUCUUUUUGUCGGUUUUAUUGAACCGAGGUAAUGAUUAAAAGGAACGGACGGUGGCAUUAGUAUUGCGACGCUAGAGGUGAAAUUCUUGGAACGUCGCACGACUAACUACUGCGAAAGCAUUUGCCGAGCACGUUUUCAUUAAUCAAGAACGAAAGUUAGAGGAUCGAAGGCGAUCAGAUACCGCCCUAGUUCUAACCCUAAACUAUGCUAACUAGCGAUCCGCCGGAGUCAUUCCCACGACCCGGCGGGAAGCCCCAGGGAAACCAAAGUCUUUGAGUUCCGGGGGAAGUAUGGUUGCAAAUCUGAAACUUAAAGGAAUUGACGGAAGGGCACCACCAGGAGUGGAGCCUGCGGCUUAAUUUGACUCAACACGGGAAACCUCACCAGGCCCGGACAUCAAAAGGAUUGACAGAUUGAGAGCUCUUUCUCGAUUCGAUGGGUGGUGGUGCAUGGCCGUUCUUAGUUGGUGGAGUGAUCUGUCUGGUUGAUUCCGAUAACGAACGAGACUCUACCCUACUAACUAGUCGGCGGAUCGUAACCCUGUGCUGGGGGAAUCCGAAGUUCUCUUUGCAGUCGGCGUGUGUCGGGAUAUCGAUGUAACCCAUAAACCUGUUUUUUAAAGGAGGUGGACUGGAUAGUGCGUCGUAUAUUCUCGCCGCGUCUUGGCUUGCGGGUGUGACCGAGGUGACUCUUACUGGGGGCGUCCGUCGCAAUGUAUCUUCUUAGAGGGAUCAGCGGCGUCUAGCCGCACGAGAAAGAGCAAUAACAGGUCUGUGAUGCCCUUAGAUGUUCUGGGCCGCACGCGCGCUACAAUGUGCAGUUCAGCGUGUCACCCCGCUCCGAAAGGAGUGGGUAACCCGUUGAAACCUGCACUCAAUUGGGAUUGGGGAUUGCAAAUGUUUCCCAUAAACGAGGAAUUCCCAGUAAUCGUGAAUCAUUAAUUCGCGCUGAUUACGUCCCUGCCCUUUGUACACACCGCCCGUCGCUACUACCGAUUGAAUGAUUCAGUGAGGUCAUCGGAUUGGCUCCUUCGGUUGCAAUAUAUCUUAGGUUGACGAAAAGACGUCCGAACUCGAUCAUUUAGAGGAAGUAAAAGUCGUAACAAGGUUUCCGUAGGUGAACCUGCGG